GGCCAGUGAUGCAAACAAUAUUUGCUACUCUUGAUGGCUUCGCCAGCUGACGACAAACAAUAAUCACCAAGAUCUUUGAGGCC
RNAcentral lists this small nucleolar RNA (83 nucleotides) under Marchantia polymorpha subsp. ruderalis. RNAcentral describes it as "Small nucleolar RNA SNORD24". It matches the Rfam family "Small nucleolar RNA SNORD24". Rfam says of the family: U24 is a member of the C/D class of snoRNA which contain the C (UGAUGA) and D (CUGA) box motifs. C/D box snoRNAs have been shown to act as methylation guides for a number of RNA targets. The record is from Rfam by way of RNAcentral. Lineage: Eukaryota; Viridiplantae; Streptophyta; Marchantiopsida; Marchantiales; Marchantiaceae.